Molecule: ribosomal RNA, 470 nt
Filed under: uncultured bacterium
Lineage: Bacteria
Description: SSU rRNA
Rfam family: Bacterial small subunit ribosomal RNA
Source: RNAcentral
AGGAUAAACGCUGGCGGCGUGCCUAACACAUGCAAGUCGAACGUCUCUUCUUUCGGGAAGAGGAGUGGCGGACGGGUGAGGAACACGUGGGAACCUGCCCUUCAGUGAGGAAUACCGGCGAGAAAUCGCCGACAAGACCGCAUAGCCCUCUCUGGUGAGAGCCAGAGAAGGAAAGCUUCGCAAGAGGCGCUGGAGGAGGGGCCUGCGUCCGAUUAGCUAGUUGGUGGGGUAAGAGCCUACCAAGGCGUCGAUCGGUAGCUGGUCUGAGAGGACGAUCAGCCACACUGGGAUUGAGAACGGCCCAGACUCCUACGGGGGGCAGCAGUGAGGAAUUUUCGGCAAUGGGGGAAACCCUGACGCAGCAACGCCGCGUGGAGGAUGAAGCCCCUUGGGGUGUAAACUCCUUUCGAUCGGGAAGAUAAUGACGGUACCGAUAUAAGAAGCCCGGCUAACUUCGUGCCAGCAGCCGC